GAUGAAGAACGUAGCGAAAUGCGAUAAGUAAUGUGAAUUGCAGAAUUCCGUGAAUCAUCGAAUCUUUGAACGCACAUUGCGCCCCCUGGUAUUCCGGGGGGCAUGUCUGUCCGAGCGUCAUUGCAACCUUCAAGCGCGGCUUGUGUGUUGGGUCUCGUCCCCCGUGGACGGGCCCGAAAGGCAGUGGCGGCGUCCCGACAUGGUGCCCGAGCGUAUGGGAAUCCUCUUCCGCUCGAAUCGGCCCAUGCGGCGCUGGUCGUAACCAAAUUUUUUGCCGGUUGACCUCGGAUCAGGUAGGGAUACCCGCUGAACUUAAGCAUAUCAAUAAGCGGAGGA
Molecule: unclassified non-coding RNA, 336 nt
Filed under: soil metagenome
Description: partial contains 5.8S ribosomal RNA, internal transcribed spacer 2, and large subunit ribosomal RNA
Rfam family: 5.8S ribosomal RNA (bases 1-120)
Source: RNAcentral